Molecule: long non-coding RNA, 3946 nt
Organism: Lemur catta (Ring-tailed lemur)
Lineage: Eukaryota; Metazoa; Chordata; Mammalia; Primates; Lemuridae
Exons: 4
Source: RefSeq, a predicted model, not a curated record
AAAUGGAAAUAGAAAAUCAUCAUUUGGCAAUCACCUUAGUCAUGGCUGAUAAAAGUCAUUUUCAGUGGAGAGUGGAGGUUUGAUAAAGAAUAGGAUAAGAGUGUAACCUAAGAAUAUCUCCCAUAAAAUACUAAUACGUUACGAGGGGGAAAAUGGUAGGAAUAAGGUGGAGAAACCUGGCAGACACUGACAUGAUCAAGAGUAACAUCAAGAGGUAGGAUUCAUGUGCCUUUAGACAGGACACACUGACAGCACCAACAAUGCAAGACUUGAGUCUUCAUGAGGAAAUACCAGAGCAAUCCAAUAAAGUAAGGUCUAAACUGUUUAAAACUGACAAGGACACAACAGACAGAAAGAAUAUGUGUUCAAGACUGAAGGAAUCUGAAGAGAAUGACAACUCAAUGCUACACAUGUUCCUGGAUAGGAUUCUGGACCAGAAAGGAAAAGAGACAUUCCUGGGAUGGCUAGCAAAAUUCAGCAGCAUCUGUGGAUUGCAUGGUAGUAUUGUACCAGAGCUGAUCUCCUGAUUUGGAGGGUUCUAUGCUGGCCAUGUAGGAGAGUGGCUUUGUUUUGGGGAAAUGUGUAAUGGAUGUUGAAAAAGGAGGGGCUGCCAUGUCUACAGUUUAUUCUGAAGACCAAUGUAAUGGGUAUCUAGAGAGGGAAAAAAACAGUGAGCAUGAGAGCAAACAUGAUAAAAUGUUAACAACUAAGGAGGGAAUCCAGGUGAACAGGAGACAGAGUUGUUUGUACUUACUAUUUUGGCAACUUUUCUAUAAAUCUGAAACCAUUUCAUAGACUAAUAUUUUUAACAGAACUUACUGGCUUAAUUCACAUAGAUUCUAGAAGGUAUGGUCGCCUAAUUUUUUCAGCUUCAGUCUUGAUUAAAAAGUGAGAUUUAAGAUGGGCAAGUACUUGGAUUUCAAAAAUGGUGUUCUAAACAUACAUCAUAAAUGCAGAGAUGAGAAAAAAGUCCCCUCACAGAAAUUAGGAGACCUAAAAUAAGGAGAAAACACAAAAAACUUACCUCAUACAUUUUUCUAGAACUUCUCUUACAAACUUUGGUUUGGGACUUUCAGGAUCUUGAGUAAGACAAUCUGACCUAAUGAGGAAAUGUGGUUUUAUAAGUUCUUCCACACAAUUGCAACUUAAAAGUUUUGUUAAUUUAUAACUGCACUUAUAACUAUUUGUACUUUACUACAAAUAGUUUCCUUCUACCUACUGUUUCAUUUAUACAUAGCAAAUAAACAUCAAAUAAAGGAAAUAAUUCAGACAGUGAAGGUUGCUUUUAUGUUACAGUUUUAAACAGUAACAGUUUUUUGACUAGGGAAAGGAAGGAUAAAACACAUCAUCACUUACCAAUCUUCCCAGCUCCAACGGAACUGGAAGUUACUUAGAUGAUGAGAAAACCAAUUAAUAAACCUAUAUAGAAAAGAGGAGGUGGGGACAGAAAAAGGAAGAAUGGUUAUGAUUUAGAACAGAAAUUUAUAAAAUCCUCCAUAACAGAUAAAACCCUACUUUAUAGAGUUAAUGAAAAGCACAUUCCUCUACCUAUAGCUGUAUGUUCUCCUGCCACUAAAUCUUUUCUCUGCAAAUCUUGUAAUUCAUUUUUUAAUAGUCCCCUAUCUCACUUCUAAUACCGCUUUUAUCUUUUUUAGGUGAAUAAGAGCUAUGAUUCCAGCAUCUGUUUUGUGACGGCACCUUCUAUGUUCAUAUAACUUAAUUCUCACAACUUCUGAGGUUAUGUAUUACAAGUAACUGAUGAUGAAACUGACGGGAAAAAAAAAGAUUAUAUAAAUGGCAGAGCCAAAGUAGUAUAGUCUCUUAUCACAGCAUGCCCCUUUCACUACAAACAGAAUAUAUCAUUGAAGCCCCCUUUUCCCCUAAAAAUAUUCCUGAUCUCUAACUAGAUAGGGAACAUCUUAUUAUUCUAUAUAAUGCUGUGGACUUCCCAAGAGUCCAAUAAAUAUUUGCUGAAUGAAUGGCAAAAUGGAGAUGCCUAACAUGACUGCUAUUUUAUUAACUAGAAUGGGAAAAAAAUCAGAGAAGACACUCCCUUAAAGCAUGUCCCUCAUGUAUCUAUAACUUCAAUCACUAAAAUUAUUCAGGGUAAAAAGGCCAAUGACACAGGAUAGCCUUUAAUGAUAAUUUUCAAAUAUGGAAUUUGAACAAUGGACAUGAAAGAUCAUAGACAUUACAGAAGUGUUCAAUACCUGUCCUUAUUUGAUUUGGAAAACUGACAGAGGUAAGAAAGAAUACCAGCGAAUAAAGGUGACCACUCAGACUUCACCCAAAAGAAAAUAGUGACCAUACAAUUAUCACAGACGUGAAAAUUCUAUAAUAUGAUCUUUUAUAUAAACUAAGAGUCUUGAAACUGUAGGUCUGAAAAGACUUUUAUGUAAAAGCUAGAGUUUAGAUGCAGAUACUACCUAUAAACAAAAAAAUAUACAUUAUUUAUUAAAAACAAAAAAUAUAUAUUGUUAAUAUUUAUAUAUAAUAUACAGAUUAGAUUCCCCUUCUACAUAAGGGUUAGCAUAAAACGUAUUUUAAAAGUGUACAUAUGCAAUUACAGAGGGAAAAAGUAAAACUGUACCAAAGUACCAAAUACAUAAACAAUGAAUGGAAUUAAAACUGCAGCAUGGGCAUCAAAAAUGUAACAUUACAGUACAACAAGUACAAGUCUUGUUAAUACACAAAGUUUAUUUUGGGGAGGCAAGAAAGAAAACAUGGAAAUUCUUAAAAUGGCAAAUGUCUUGAUCAAAUUCCUUUAUAAAGUAGAAGGAGUAGAAGCUACUGACACAGUAUAGAAAUAAGGCAAUAAUGGUACCUGUCUACACAUGUCGUAUUCAUUGUGUCCAAACGCAUGUAUAACAUUUCAGUUGCCUGUGCCAGCUGCGAAUUUGAGGAUAAGGAAAACUAUUCUCCGCUCUCAUACAAAACAAAUUGUGUAACAGAAAAAAUUAAAACAUUUCUGACGACUCCAGAAGAACAAGAAAUUUAACUAUUUUUAAAGAGUUCAUAAUCACUUACUUGCCUCUGGAAUAUUUGGCUUGAAAUGCAUGGUGAUUCUCAUAAAACACAGCACCUGGCUAUUCUAAGCUGGGGUUGUUAAGUCUCUACAAUGACUGAAAUGAUCUUCAGAUACCACAUGAACUUAAGCUGAAUAAAAUCAAUUUGUUACUAUCCAGAUAGGACCAAAGGGAGGCAUUAUAAAAAAUUACAGGCUAUGUUGAAGGACAAGGUUUGUUUGGCAAAUGGGAGGAGGAAGAAAGUAUUAAGAAGGAAGAGAUGCCCCACUCUCACCUGAUAUUUGAGAGAAUAUGAAGAGGAGGGGAAAACUACAGACCCAAUAUGAAUUCAAGGACACUAACAAGGGAUGCCGAGAAGGGAGAAAAGAAAGCAUACGAAGAGCAAAGAAAAUGGGAACAACAAAAAGACUCAUAUUCUCUAAAACCCCAAGUGAUGACUCCAAGCAUAGUUUUUGAUUAGUCUAUUACACAGCAUACAAAAACUGUAUUUUCGGUACACUGUACAGGGGUUAUACAAGAAGCCUCCUGUGUUGAAAAUCAAAGCAUGCGAUGCAGUUACAUGUAGGUAGGUAAGCAAGCCCUGGACUUGCUCUUCUUGGUGUCUGGGCACUGACAACUGUGUCUCCAUGGUAAUUAUACUCAGUCUCUAAACUCCUCCUUAGGUGUCAGAUGAAAAGGCUGGACUAGACUAUCCUCUCAAGUCAUGCCCUAGCAGAAAUCCGGUGUUUCACUGCUAGAACUAAAUACUUGGGAUUCUGCCCCCGUUCCUAAUUGCCCCAACAUUCAAGGAGAGAGAAAUGUCAGUAGAGAAAACUUACUCAAUUACAACUUUCGUUUUGUUUUUUCUUACAUUGUUGGCAUCUGACGAUGUGUAUCAGCUUUUAAGUACUAACAGAUGAUAAAAUAAAACAUCAUCAUGA